Molecule: transfer RNA, 73 nt
Filed under: Mycobacterium tuberculosis
Lineage: Bacteria; Bacillati; Actinomycetota; Actinomycetes; Mycobacteriales; Mycobacteriaceae
Description: tRNA-Thr(tgt)
Rfam family: tRNA
About the family: Transfer RNA (tRNA) molecules are approximately 80 nucleotides in length. Their secondary structure includes four short double-helical elements and three loops (D, anti-codon, and T loops). Further hydrogen bonds mediate the characteristic L-shaped molecular structure. tRNAs have two regions of fundamental functional importance: the anti-codon, which is responsible for specific mRNA codon recognition, and the 3' end, to which the tRNAs corresponding amino acid is attached (by aminoacyl-tRNA synthetases). tRNAs cope with the degeneracy of the genetic code in two manners: having more than one tRNA (with a specific anti-codon) for a particular amino acid; and 'wobble' base-pairing, i.e. permitting non-standard base-pairing at the 3rd anti-codon position.
Source: RNAcentral
GCCUCCUUAGCUCAGUGGUAGAGCACUCGCCUUGUAAGCGAGCGGCCGUCAGUUCAAUCCUGACAGGGGGCUC